GAUGAACGCUGGCGGCGUGCCUAAUACAUGCAAGUCGAGCGAACAGACGAGGAGCUUGCUCCUCUGACGUUAGCGGCGGACGGGUGAGUAACACGUGGAUAACCUACCUAUAAGACUGGGAUAACUUCGGGAAACCGGAGCUAAUACCGGAUAAUAUAUUGAACCGCAUGGUUCAAUAGUGAAAGACGGUUUUGCUGUCACUUAUAGAUGGAUCCGCGCCGCAUUAGCUAGUUGGUAAGGUAACGGCUUACCAAGGCAACGAUGCGUAGCCGACCUGAGAGGGUGAUCGGCCACACUGGAACUGAGACACGGUCCAGACUCCUACGGGAGGCAGCCGUAGGGAAUCUUCCGCAAUGGGCGAAAGCCUGACGGAGCAACGCCGCGUGAGCGAUGAAGGUCUUCGGAUCGUAAAACUCUGUUAUUAGGGAAGAACAAAUGUGUAAGUAACUAUGCACGUCUUGACGGUACCUAAUCAGAAAGCCACGGCUAACUACGUG
Molecule: ribosomal RNA, 497 nt
Filed under: uncultured bacterium
Lineage: Bacteria
Description: partial 16S ribosomal RNA
Rfam family: Bacterial small subunit ribosomal RNA
Source: RNAcentral